CGUCUGUGACUCCUACGGGAGGCAGCAGUGGGGAAUAUUGCACAAUGGGGGAAACCCUGAUGCAGCCAUGCCGCGUGUGUGAAGAAGGCCUUCGGGUUGUAAAGCACUUUCAGUAGGGAGGAAGGUAGUGUAGUUAACACCUGCAUUAUUUGACGUUACCUACAGAAGAAACACCGGCUAACUCCGUGCCAGCAGCCGCGGUAAUACGGAGGGUGCGAGCGUUAAUCGGAAUUACUGGGCGUAAAGCGCAUGCAGGCGGCCUGUUAAGUCAGAUGUGAAAGCCCGGGGCUUAACCUCGGAAUUGCAUUUGAAACUGGCAGGCUAGAGUCUUGUAGAGGGGGUAGAAUUUCAGGUGUAGCGGUGAAAUGCGUAGAGAUCUGAAGGAAUACCAGUGGCGAAGGCGGCCCCCUGGACAAAGACUGACGCUCAGAUGCGAAAGCGUGGGGAGCAAACAGGAUUAGAUACCCUGGAG
This 472-nucleotide ribosomal RNA is filed under the name uncultured bacterium. Its description in RNAcentral is "bacterial SSU rRNA". It matches the Rfam family "Bacterial small subunit ribosomal RNA", at positions 327 to 792 of the family's 1533-position model. The record is from RNAcentral.